This 506-nucleotide ribosomal RNA is filed under the name uncultured bacterium. Its description in RNAcentral is "bacterial SSU rRNA". It matches the Rfam family "Bacterial small subunit ribosomal RNA", at positions 15 to 507 of the family's 1533-position model. The record is from RNAcentral.
GAUCAUGGCUCAGGAUGAACGCUAGCUACAGGCUUAACACAUGCAAGUCGAGGGGAAACGACAUCGAAAGCUUGCUUUUGGUGGGCGUUCGACCGGCGCACGGGUGAGUAACGCGUAUCCAACCUGCCCACCACUUGGGGAUAACCUUGCGAAAGUAAGACUAAUACCCAAUGAUAUCCCACGAAGGCAUCCGAAUGGGAUUAAAGAUUUAUCGGUGAUGGAUGGGGAUGCGUCUGAUUAGCUUGUUGGCGGGGUAACGGCCCACCAAGGCAACGAUCAGUAGGGGUUCUGAGAGGAAGGUCCCCCACAUUGGAACUGAGACACGGUCCAAACUCCUACGGGAGGCAGCAGUGAGGAAUAUUGGUCAAUGGGCGAGAGCCUGAACCAGCCAAGUAGCGUGCAGGAUGACGGCCCUAUGGGUUGUAAACUGCUUUUAUAAGGGAAUAAAGUGAGCCUCGUGAGGCUUUUUGCAUGUACCUUAUGAAUAAGGACCGGCUAAUUCCGUG